UCGAAUUUCCUCGGCGACUCGCCAUAGUAGGCACGGAGGACAAGCUUCCCACCAGCGUUGUCCUCGUUUGGGUUUUCAGCGAAUGUGCAGUUCACCACAACCACCGUGUACACCCGACCGUAGCCCCAAUCGGGAAGCAUUUUGUAGGCUUUGGCCCUCAAGGAAGCUGAACCAUUGCUAGAGAUCCACUCGCAUUUGUACCAAGGACGGCCGUAGACGUGAAGAGGCUUGGAAGCCAGACCCACAACAGCGAAUGUCCGAGGACCGCCGCGGUAAGCUCCCAUUAACACGAAGAGAGAGGCCGCGUUGCCGUAGGCGUAGAAGAGGCGCUUGUUAGGGUCUGCGUUGGAGCUGGCCUUUGGAGUGGAGACCUUUUUUUCAGAGACGGAGGAGGAUGAGGGCGGUGUAUACGGGAGGAUGGAUGCAUUACCGGUGGCGAUGGUGGUGGAGGUGGCGGUGGCGGCGGCGGCGGUGGCGGAACAGCGGCUGGUGGUGGAGAUGAGGUUUUCGUAGUAGGGCUGGAGAUUCCAGAUGACCAUGACAAGGGUGAGGGCCAGUAAUGUGGCAACCAGGGGCUUAGUUUCGAAACAUAGGAAUAAUUUGCCGACGGAGUUGCCGGGGACGGUAGCCGGUGAGGCGUCUUUCCU
This 647-nucleotide long non-coding RNA is filed under the name Vitis vinifera (wine grape). RNAcentral describes it as "long non-coding RNA (VVIN_LNC005862)". Lineage: Eukaryota; Viridiplantae; Streptophyta; Magnoliopsida; Vitales; Vitaceae. The record is from RNAcentral.